This 253-nucleotide ribosomal RNA is filed under the name uncultured prokaryote. RNAcentral's name for it is "partial 16S ribosomal RNA". It matches the Rfam family "Bacterial small subunit ribosomal RNA", at positions 524 to 776 of the family's 1533-position model. The record is from RNAcentral.
UACGAAGGGGGCUAGCGUUGCUCGGAAUUACUGGGCGUAAAGGGCGCGUAGGCGGCCUUCUAAGUCGAACGUGAAAUCCCCGGGCUCAACCCGGGAACUGCGUCCGAUACUGGAAGGCUUGAAUCCGGGAGAGGGAUGCGGAAUUCCAGGUGUAGCGGUGAAAUGCGUAGAUAUAGGAAGGAACACCAGUGGCGAAGGCGACCACCUGGACUGAUACUGACACUGAGGUGCGAAAGCGUGGGGAGCAAACAGG